RNAcentral lists this ribosomal RNA (465 nucleotides) under uncultured Actinomycetes bacterium. Its description in RNAcentral is "bacterial SSU rRNA". It matches the Rfam family "Bacterial small subunit ribosomal RNA", at positions 777 to 1245 of the family's 1533-position model. The record is from RNAcentral. Lineage: Bacteria; Bacillati; Actinomycetota; Actinomycetes.
AUUAGAUACCCUGGUAGUCCACGCCGUAAACGGUGGGCACUAGUUGUGGGAACCUUCCACGGUUUCUGCGACGCAGCUAACGCAUUAAGUGCCCCGCCUGGGGAGUACGAUCGCAAGAUUAAAACUCAAAGGAAUUGACGGGGCCCCGCACAAGCAGCGGAGCAUGCGGCUUAAUUCGACGCAACGCGAAGAACCUUACCAAGGCUUGACAUAUACAGGAAUAUGGCAGAAAUGUCAUAGCCGCAAGGUCUGUAUACAGGUGGUGCAUGGUUGUCGUCAGCUCGUGUCGUGAGAUGUUGGGUUAAGUCCCGCAACGAGCGCAACCCUCGUUCUGUGUUGCCAGCAUUUAGUUGGGGACUCACAGGAGACUGCCGGGGUUAACUCGGAGGAAGGUGGGGAUGACGUCAAAUCAUCAUGCCCCUUAUGUCUUGGGCUGCACGCAUGCUACAAUGGCUGGUACAAACG